Molecule: ribosomal RNA, 378 nt
Filed under: uncultured bacterium
Lineage: Bacteria
Description: bacterial SSU rRNA
Rfam family: Bacterial small subunit ribosomal RNA
Source: RNAcentral
AGCGAACGCUGGCGGCAGGCUUAACACAUGCAAGUCGAACGGGCACUUCGGGUGCUAGUGGCAGACGGGUGAGUAACGCGUGGGAACGUGCCUUUCGGGUUCGGAAUAAUCCAGGGAAACUUGGACUAAUACCGGAUACGCCCUUCGGGGGAAAGAUUUAUCGCCGAAAGAUCGGCCCGCGUCUGAUUAGCUAGUUGGUGAGGUAAAGGCUCACCAAGGCGACGAUCAGUAGCUGGUCUGAGAGGAUGAUCAGCCACACUGGGACUGAGACACGGCCCAGACUCCUACGGGAGGCAGCAGGUGGGGAAUAUUGGACAAGUGGGCGAAAGCCUGAUCCAGCCAUGCCGCGUGAGUGAUGAAGGCCUUAGGGUUGUAAAG